CCAGUCGGCCGGACAGCCGCUGCCGCAAGUGCCGAAAGGCCGCGGGGGAGGAAAGUCCGGGCUCCAUGGGAACACGGUGCCGGGUAACGCCCGGCGAGGGCGACCUUAGGGAAAGUGCCACAGAAAGCAAACCGCCCUGGCGUGCCGGGGUAAGGGUGAAAGGGUGGGGUAAGAGCCCACCGCGCAACUGGCAACAGCGGCGGCAUGGUAAACCCCACCGGGAGCAAGACCGAAUAGGGACAGCACGGCCUUCGGGCCAGGCCGGUUUCCAGGCCCGCUGUCCGGGUUGGUUGCGUGAGGCGUCUGGCGACAGACGCCCCAGAUGAAUGGCUGUCACGUCCGUGAAAGCGGGCCAUACAGAACCCGGCUUACAGGCCGGCUGGCUUU
This 387-nucleotide RNase P RNA is filed under the name Labrenzia sp. VG12. RNAcentral's name for it is "RNase P RNA component class A". It matches the Rfam family "Bacterial RNase P class A". Rfam says of the family: Ribonuclease P (RNase P) is a ubiquitous endoribonuclease, found in archaea, bacteria and eukarya as well as chloroplasts and mitochondria. Its best characterised activity is the generation of mature 5'-ends of tRNAs by cleaving the 5'-leader elements of precursor-tRNAs. The record is from RNAcentral. Lineage: Bacteria; Pseudomonadati; Pseudomonadota; Alphaproteobacteria; Hyphomicrobiales; Stappiaceae.